AGCGGCGGACGGGUGAGUAAUGCUUAGGAAUCUGCCAUUUAGUGGGGGACAACAUUCCGAAAGGAAUGCUAAUACCGCAUACGUCCUACGGGAGAAAGCAGGGGAUCUUCGGACCUUGCGCUAAAUGAUGAGCCUAAGUCGGAUUAGCUAGUUGGUGGGGUAAAGGCCUACCAAGGCGACGAUCUGUAGCGGGUCUGAGAGGAUGAUCCGCCACACUGGGACUGAGACACGGCCCAGACUCCUACGGGAGGCAGCAGUGGGGAAUAUUGGACAAUGGGCGGAAGCCUGAUCCAGCCAUGCCGCGUGUGUGAAGAAGGCCUUUUGGUUGUAAAGCACUUUAAGCGAGGAGGAGGCUACCUAGAUUAAUACUCUGGGAUAGUGGACGUUACUCGCAGAAUAAGCACCGGCUAACUCUGUGCCAGCAGCCGCGGUAAUACAGAGGGUGCGGGCGUUAAUCGGAUUUACUGGGCGUAAAGCGUGCGUAGGCGGCUUUUUAAGUCGGAUGUGAAAUCCCCGAGCUUAACUUGGGAAUUGCAUUCGAUACUGGGAAGCUAGAGUAUGGGAGAGGAUGGUAGAAUUCCAGGUGUAGCGGUGAAAUGCGUAGAGAUCUGGAGGAAUACCGAUGGCGAAGGCAGCCAUCUGGCCUAAUACUGACGCUGAGGUACGAAAGCAUGGGGAGCAAACAGGAUUAGAUACCCUGGUAGUCCAUGCCGUAAACGAUGUCUACUAGC
Molecule: ribosomal RNA, 731 nt
Filed under: uncultured bacterium
Lineage: Bacteria
Description: bacterial SSU rRNA
Rfam family: Bacterial small subunit ribosomal RNA
Source: RNAcentral